AUUCCCUUAGUAGCGGCGAGCGAAAUGGGAACAGCCUAAACCGGUCUAUCCGGGGUUGUGGGAAGAAUGAUUAAGAAAACUUGGAUCUGGUUAUUACGUUGGUAAAAACUUGGAAAAGUUAAAAAACAAACUGAAUGAGGCGAAGCAGCUGAAUCCUGCACCAUAGAUGGUGAAAGUCCAGUAGUCGAAAUUCAAUGAAAGGUGACACAAACUUUGUGUGUGUCACAAACAGUUCUUAUCCCGAGUAGCAUGGGGCACGUGAAAUCCCGUGUGAAUCAACGAGGACCACCUCGUAAGGCUAAAUACUCCUGAGUGACCGAUAGCGAACUAGUACCGUGAGGGAAAGGUGAAAAAGAUCCCCCGUAGGGAAGUGAAAUAGAACAUGAAACCGUAAGCUGUCAAACAGUGGGAGGGCUUAGAGCC
This 423-nucleotide ribosomal RNA is filed under the name uncultured Ettlia. RNAcentral describes it as "bacterial LSU rRNA". It matches the Rfam family "Bacterial large subunit ribosomal RNA", at positions 234 to 593 of the family's 2925-position model. The record is from RNAcentral. Lineage: Eukaryota; Viridiplantae; Chlorophyta; Chlorophyceae; Chlamydomonadales.